GGAGGGGUUCCCGAGUGGCCAAAGGGAACAGACUGUAAAUCUGUCGUCAUCGACUUCGGUGGUUCAAAUCCACCCCCCUCCACCA
Molecule: transfer RNA, 85 nt
Filed under: Desulfovibrio sp.
Lineage: Bacteria; Pseudomonadati; Thermodesulfobacteriota; Desulfovibrionia; Desulfovibrionales; Desulfovibrionaceae
Also listed under: 1 other name
Description: tRNA-Tyr
Rfam family: tRNA
About the family: Transfer RNA (tRNA) molecules are approximately 80 nucleotides in length. Their secondary structure includes four short double-helical elements and three loops (D, anti-codon, and T loops).
Source: RNAcentral